AAGGCGGGAAGCGGCAGCUCCUGAGGGCGGCGGUGGGCGAGGAUUUUGGGGGGAUUUGAGGCGAUUUUGGGGCAUUUUGCGGGAUUUUUGGGAUCCCUCAUGAGCCUCUCACCCCUACCAGGCCCCAGGCACGCGUCCAGAGCCGUGAUGGCCGCCAAGGUGAAGGUGGAGAAACCAGGACCCUCAAAACUUCAUAUGGAAAUCAUGAUGGUAAUGGAGACAAGGAUGUCUAUGCUGUGCCAUCAGGAACAUAAAAAAACAUUAGAAUGCAGGUGAGACUGAGCUCCUGAACUAGUGAGAAGAGAAUGCAACAAAGACAUUUUUUUUAAGAGUCUUCAGGAUGAAGAGCAGAUCAAAUUUUUUAAUGUGAAAUAUUUAUUAAUAGAAUGAACCUUCAAAAUAACAUUGUUUUCAAAAACCUGUUUACAGUAUGUCUUAGAACGAUACAUAGUUCUUAUUAAUAGAAAAAGAAAAGCACUUUUUUCCAAACUGUUGUGCACUCUUAAGCAAUCUACAAUAAAAACAGUAUUUUUUCAUGCUGGGAAUGAUGUUGAUUACAAAAAAGCCUUCUAGCCCACUUGGCACGUAGUUUCUUGAUUAGCAUAGUUUUUUAUUGUGGUGGUUUGACAGGGAAUGGGAUUUCUGGGAUGCUGCUGUCAGGCCAAUGGGUGCUCAGAUUUUAAUAUUGUUACCUGGUUUGGCCAUUGGGACAUUGGAUCCGCCUCUGAGAACACAGGGUUAAAAGCAGGGCUCUCGCCUGGGAGGGUCUCUUUGGAUUUCCGGUGAGAAGGGUUCGGGUCUCUGCCCCGGUCCAGCUGCUGGAUGGGCGGGGGAGGGGAAAGCCAUGCGGCCUGGGAGAGGUGGGCCUGACCCUGAGGGGCCCAAGGGUGGAAGCAUGGAAGAAGUACUGAGAGGUAUUCCCCCAAUCCCCCGCUUCUGGGAGACAGAGAGAGAGACAGAGCCGUGCCUGGGACUGUUGUCUUGGAAUCUGAUAUCGUGUGCUGCCGGCACAGCACAGCCUGCGGAGAAGAGGGGGGGGGCAGCGAGGAGUCCAGCCGCUGGCAGGAGCAUUUAACCCUUUUGUGGAGAAUGAAAUCUUUACAGAGCAUUGACAUUUCCUAGAGGGGAGAUGCAGUGGAGGAUGAAAAAGAAACUGAGCAAGUGAGAUGGAGGUCUGAGCAAGGGAGAGAUAUGAAAAGAAUAGAACCUUGAAGAACCUUGAGUGGGAAGGGAUGAUGGAGUGGCUCUUACACUGGACUCUUUUUGUAUAGCCAUGGAGAGAACUGUGUUUCCUUGGGAUACAGGGACUGCAUCCGGGGGGGCAAUGCCCCAGAGCCAAGAGGGUUCGGUGUUGGUGCCCCUUGGCCCCAGAGGGAAUAAUUUGGGGGGGACAGAUGUCCCAAAGUUGAGACCGUGCCUUUUUGGAUUGGGACAAUGCAUCCUUAAAAGACAACCCUAGAAGCAGCUCUGGUCCGUGUUCAGUGGUGAGAGCACUGGACAUGAAAAGGAAGAGGUAACCAUGGCCACAAGAAGGACUCCUCUCCCCCUGAUGAACUGAGGAUUGAGUAUUCUAAAGGGUGGUGCUGGACUGAGAGUCGAUGAUUUGGGGAAUGGAUUGUAUUGGAAAUUUGGUGGGGAGGAGAGGGAGAUGUAUUUGUGACGUUUUCAUUUUCCUUGUGUGUUUCUCUUUUCUUUUUUUUUUUCUUGUAGUUUAGUCAAUAAAGUUUUUUCUAAGUAGAAGCUGCUUUGCUUAUUCCUGGUCACAUCUCACAGCAGACACCAGGGAGAGGGUAUUCUCAUGGGGGCACUGGCAUUGUCCCAGUGUCAAACCAUGACAUUUAUUCAUCAAGCAAGUUUCACAUUGACUAUUUUUCAUCUUUAAAUAAUGGCAUCUUUGUACUUAUGCAGCAUCCAUGAAGAAUUUCUUGGAUGUUAUUUUGUACCUGAUCCUAAAUGCCAGGUUCUGCAUUCUGCCAUCUGUCUAGCUUUCCCAUUUGAUGCAACUUCUGAGAGGUAUUUUCAGAAUUGAGGACUACCUGCAAGAAUGAUGCUAAAUGCAUGCAUUUUACUCCUUGGUUAAUGCAAAACUAUUUUUCCUUUAUAGCACAAUAAGAACAGGAAAAUAAUGAUGGUGGAUUCAAUCCUUGUAGUAAUACAAAGAGGACUAUUAUCAUCAUUAGAAAUCAAGCAAGUUGUAUUUAUUGCAUAUGCAGUACAACCACUAAUGCAAAUUACCCUGUAAAUUCAAUAGGAAUCUGUAUCAUAGGAGUGGAUUGAAUGUUUCUAUUGAUAUUUUGCUUAAAGCAGAAAGUUGAUUCUUUUGACAGGCAACUGAUAAUUGCAACCUCACUUUCAACUACGGCUUUCAAACAGUUGAAACAUGUCUGUUUAUAAAAUGAUACGGUACAGUACACAAUAGCAAAUCAGGUCAUAGACAUUCAAAAGAAAAAAAAGAUCAAAGGACAGAUUCAUUCACAUCUGCAAGCCCUCAAGAGUGUACAGGUCAAAUGUCCCCAGAAAACUAGGCUGGUGGUGCAAACUCUCUCUGUUGGCACCAGCAGAAGCAGCUGCUAUCUUUAUAGGAUACAAUCUUGCUUACAUUGCCCUUCAGAGCAAUCUUCUGUACCCCUGGCCAAUACACCUGCUCUAUUCCUUGGACUUCACGUUUGCUUUUCUACAGAGUCUUGUCCUGCCAACUGACUCAAAGUUCAGGUAAUAGAUUUCCAAGAUUUAGAAAUGCCGAGUUAAGUUUAUUUAUCUUAUAUUUCAUUCCGUCUAAGCAAACUGUAACUUCCUGAAGUGAAAUAUGUUGAGUAUGUCAUGUGUAUUUUGCAUCUUAGUUCUGCUUCAUAUUAAACUUCUCACAGACUCCUGUGAUGCCUUACUGCAAAAAUAUAUAUGCACAAAGAGUGGUUGUGGGAAGUUGGAAGUGCCAGAAAACCAUGUAAACAAUCUAAAAAUAGAGCUUUGAAUUUCUGAAUAUAAUUGCACCAUGUAAAGUCAAAAUAUAAUAUUUAAAUGAUUUUCAUGUAAUGAUGAAUGUGGGGUAGAGAGAAUCCAGAUAGAAUUAAUUUUUUUAACAGUUCCAGGAAAAACAUGGCCUUGACUUGGAAGUAUAGCAUUAAAUAUUUUAUACAGCAUGAGUUCUCAUUACCUAAUCAUAUGAUUUGUAGAACUGAAUUGGAAACCAGGAAAUAAAGAAAAAUAUUCAAGCUAUAAAAGAUAUAAGUUUAAAAUUUUCUUUGUAUUUCUGGUUAAAACUAUUAGGUAGCUAAAUGGUCACUCAUUAUUUUAAAAAGCAUCUGGACAUUAAAAAUAGAUAAAUUUCUGUGGGACUUGGAUGUCAGCUAUUCCUGAAAAGCUUUAUUUCACUGCUUCCCAACCCUGAAUCAAUCCACUUAAACACAGUUGUAUUUCAGAUGCUCAGUGAAACUGUCCAUGUAAUGCAUAUAGUUGACAAAUAAUCUGCAGAAAAAGCUAGAUCGAUUUGAAGGUUUUUCCUGUAAAUGGCAUUCAAAUUAUUUGUACAAACACACAGAUGGGAUUUCUGCUGUCUUAUUCAGGCCACUUCCUCCAAAAAGCUCUCCAUCAAAUCUCUCUAGUUCUAUUCUUCUGGUGAUCCAAAGACAGCACUGGGAUGGUCCAACUGCAUGGAAUUACUGUCUUCUAGAGAUGCACCCUGAGGGCUUCUGUGUGCAGCAUCACGUGAGCCCUACUAAUGUCACCCUGUUGGUAUAAACUGAGCUAGCUGGACCUUAAGGGACAAGAUUGUGCACUGAUUUUGUAAUAGAAAUCAAGUACUAAGAAGGAGGCUGGAGGAUUUAAAUACUUCUGCCUCCAGCUUAAGCAAUACUAAAUCUUGGUCUUUAUCUGAAAAACUAGGUGAAUUAACCCAUUCAGCAUUCCUAUGCCAAAAAUGUCAGUAAUACAAUAAGAACCGUCAAAAGAGUAACAAUUCCAAUCAUUACUUUAUAAAAAUAAUUCAUUGGGAGAAGUCGGGAAGAAGGAUGCAACAUGCCAAUAUCCUCCCCUGAGAAUCAUUCUGUUGAUUUGCACAGGUUUCUUAUUAUAUUCCCAUCUAAUGCAUUGGACAUGCAUGCUUGUGAUGACACAAAUACUUGCAAAACUUACCAGAUAAACCAUGUUCUCUCCAGACAGCAAAACAUUUCUUGAUGGUUGUAUUAGCAAUAAUUACAUUUAGACUCAAUGUUCUUAAAGGUCUUUUCCAACCAAAGUGAUUCCGUCAUUCUCUAAGUCACACAUCCUGCUUGUCCUGGUUUAGGGCAAAUUUGGCAGCAAACCUCAAGAAGGGGUGGUUUAUUAAAAACAUUGAUCUAGUACUGAUGUCCAGCGGUGACAAAGACUCUCUAACAGUUUAAAGUUCGAAAGUGUAUGUUUAUUGCAAUGCCGGGCAGUGUGUGGGAUAGCUCCCAAAUACACACUGUGAUUUACAGGUGAUGACAGAGUCCUUUUAUCUAUACAAGUAUUGAAUACCCAAAAUACAAAUACAUAUUCAUAAUUUUGGUACAUCCCACUCCCCACUUCAUAUGGUAACUAGUUCAAAAGCUAUUAAGCAUGAGUAGUUUGUUCCUCAAAAUGAGUCAGUGGUCCCUUUUAUGGGGAGGGGUCCCAAAAUGAGGAAAUGAAUGAAAUCUUCCUCGUUCUGAACUUUCUACAAUUUCAAUGCAAAUAUGACAAAUGAACCCAUUGGUAGAACUCCCAUUCCCCAUCUUCACUGGUUUCAGAACAGAGGAGGCCUACAAUUGUCUUAUGUUCCUAAAAACUAUUUAUCAGUUUCUAUAUUCUUCAUUAUAAACCCAGUAAUCAAACAUUAUGUUGACAAGCAAUCAAUUAUCAGUUAACUACUAACUCUUAACUUCAUCAAGGCCUACUUAUUUAUUUUGAUAAACUCUAAUAAGGCUUAUCUCUAACUAAAACCUGAGCUCCUCUGAAAUCCCUAAAUCCUUAAAGUUUGUGUCUCAGGGGGCCCCCCCCAGAAAGCCCACCCACAUGGCCCCUCCCCUCAACUGGUUUGGGAAAAAUUUCCUCUGAGAGAAGUGGAAAAACCUGUUUAUUUAACAGGCAAAGCACUUCCCAGCACAAAAAAUGAACAAUACCAGAUGACAAAACUCAAUUGCUGCUCUGAAGAGACGACAAAUUCCAAAAGUCUCCCCUGUGGAUGCUCUCUCUGUUAUCAAUCCCUCCAGCACUGGGAAAGGCUGCUGCCCAGAGUAGGCCCCCAAAGGCCAAAAAGUGCAAGCUCUCAGUGUUCCCCAGGUCCCAGUCUGGAGCAGGUUUGAACAGUUCCAAGAAAAGGGAAAGAAAAAAAGACAGUCCAGGGAAAACUCUGCCUCAGCCAGCUAAACCAACUGAAAAGCAAAGAAGCACUCUGUUCUGCUCCGUCAAUGCCUGAACAACACAAUGUAGCUCAGAAUGUGGAGGAGUGUUGCUUUUAGAAGAGUGAGUGCAGUCUCUGGUAACAAACUCCGUGCUUCUUCUUCUCCCCACCUUUGCUCUCAGAACCAGUCUUGAAGGCAGAGAAUAUAAUAUCCAGCAUUAACAGAACAGAUGACUGGGGAUACAAGCACCAUAAAGUCACCCUAGGACACUGCUCUACUGAGAUAUGUCACCAGACUAUGCUAAGACAAAGUUUUGAAACUGCUAAUUAAAAUUCUACUAUCAUAGUGAAGCUGAGGAGGAAACACAUCUCGCUACAGUUACCUUGUGGCAUGCCAAUACUUCCUUUCAAUCACAAUAUUUUUUUGGUUUUAAGUCCGUGACAUCAUAGGCAUAAUUCAACAUCUUCUGGGCAGGAAGGAAGAUAUUAUUCUCAUUAUACUGAUGGGUAAGCUGAAAUGCAAAGCAGUUAAUUCAAAGUGAAAGAGCGAUAAAGUCAAUAGUAAAACUCACUACAGUUUUGUUUACUACCCUAAAUCCUUACAAUCCCAAAAUACAAGAAUAGCUGUAAAAGCCUUGUGGCUACUUAAUUUUUUCCUAUACCUACAUGGGAAGGUAAUGGAUAAAUGAUCCCAAACAAUGGUAAUCCACAACAAAGCAUUUUUGAGAUCAUAUUCAGCUUUUGUAUAGCAAGCUGUGAGAGUCUGUCGGAAUUUUCCCUCAUCUGCCUCACGAUUGUCCUUGGGAGCCCACUGAAGAGAAGACCCCUCUUGUCUAUAUCUGGCUCUGAAGGAGAACAGUCACACACCAUGGGCCCCGAGACCUGAAAGCUCAGUGUUAAGCUAUUAUUUUCACAAGUGUGUUUGCUGUAUGCUAAGAAGAGGGCACCAUGCCCCAUUUGCAACAAUAGCAGCUCUGGAAGCUGUCCCACCUCUCGGCCUGGCUGGACUUCUCCUGAGUUCCAGGUGGUCUCCCACAGAAGACCCUCACCUGUUUUACAACCACCGUGACAGACAGACGGAGAUGUGAGAAGCUUUUCCAUCAAGGACUGAGACAUGAAACUCCUAAAAGGCCCCUGUGCUCCUUUGAAGGACUGGGACUGAAACCCCAGCCCGGGGGAGGUGUGUGGGGAGGCAAGCUGACUGAAGCGAGAUGUUUGCCUGCAGGUUGUGACCACUGGAGCAAGAAAACAAUGGCUCUCGCUUACUGCUGAGAACAUAGACUACUUAUUACAUCUAUCAAGCUCAUUUACUGCUGACUACCUGUUAUAAAAACCUCUGAGGUAUCUAGAGCCUUUGAGAUCUCCCCAGCGUAGCAGGCGGAGACUUCGACUGGACUGGACCAAAGAACUUCGUCUCUGCAUUGGUAGCUAUAUCCCCUCUCCCCCCCUCUUUCUCUCUUUCUCCAUCUUUUUCUCUCUCCCUUAAUCCCUCUAUCGCGUUUUUGCUGUAGUUAUUUCAACAAAACUGCAUUUGAUUUGAUUAUCACUGCAAGCCCCUUUGUACCAUGUUGGUUUUUGCACUCUGAGAUCAUUCCUACGAACCAUCAGGUCAUCUGUCCACUAGGAUGGACCCUGACAUUCUUCACCUGAUCAAGUUAUUCCAUUGCAAUAGUUUGGGGAGUAUCUUAGAGGGCUGGGUGUUGUUUGGUUUGAAACCAUCUUGAUCAUUCAGGAACCCAGUAGCAAUGAGAAAGUUCAAAAUAAGAUAGUGCUACGCAUUGAUUUUCAUAUAUGACAGACAUAUUUCUUCAACACAGAAGACUGACCUAAUGCUUCACUACAACAUGGCUGAAGUGGCAUCCUCUUCCCCAUAGGUUUUUCUGUUUACUUUUAGCUGCUUUCAUACCAGAUUAUUGAGCUGAACUAGCUCAAAAAGGAAUCAGAUAAGUGCCAGAGCUUUAAAACAAAACAAAAACCAAUAUCUCUAGAAUGAUAUUGCUUCAACGGUUUCAGUUUGUUUCCCCCCCCCCCUUCAAUUCUAAACGUUAUGCAUUCUUUUUGGCCAUUUCAGUAAAUAGAUUUUCUGAUUCGUGUGAAAGACUGUCUGAAGUCUCCCCCAUUUGCCUCACUACCUUUCCCAGGACAGACAUUGGGACCCUAAAGACCCUGAUGCGAAUUCUGGCCUGCCGGUGGUGGAUGAAUGCCGAAAAUCCUGAG
Zonotrichia albicollis (white-throated sparrow) is the source of this 7555-nucleotide non-coding RNA. The record is from RefSeq and is a predicted model, not a curated record. NCBI's taxonomy places the organism in Eukaryota, Metazoa, Chordata, Aves, Passeriformes, Passerellidae.